AGGCCCGGGCCCGGGCCGUUCCGCCGCCGCUCCGCCCCUGAGCGCCGGGCGCCCAAAGGCUGCCGGAGCGCUCGUGUCGCGGCAGUCCUCGUUGCCGGGGCUGGCGCGGCCCCUUCGGCGGGGGCUGAGCGGCUUUAUCUGCGCGCCUCGGAAGUGGCCACGGGCUCUGGCUGGCUGAAGAGACCACACUUACCAAGAAGAACAGACAUCUCUAUGUAAACAGAGGCUUUGGAGCAAAGAGUUCUGGCUACGUUAGUCUUUGGAAUACCUGAAAAUACACUGGAACAUACAGAAAUGAAGGAACAGACCCUCAAUGAGGAGAAGAGAGGGGAAUCCCCUCGUACUGUUUCAGCCUAUUGGAUGUGCUGCUGUGCAUCGUUCAGGUUUGUGAACCAAGUUAGAGAGAGAGAGAGAAGAAAAAGGAGAAAAAAAAAGAAAAAAAGAAACACCUUUCUGACCCAAUAUUGAAGAGCAUGGUGGAUGUGCUUCUAAGGCUAAGGUAGUGUUGCAGGAAGCAGCUGAGAGCAGUCAAUAGCCCAGUGUUCCAGUCAUGCCAAGACAGGAAGAGGAGGACUAGCUACUGAGAUUCCUUAGAGAGUGGAGAAAGAGGAAGAGAAUCCUGAUGGGAGGAGUAGUGCAACCCCAAGAUGAUUAUAUGGGUACUAU
RNAcentral lists this long non-coding RNA (666 nucleotides) under Apteryx owenii (little spotted kiwi). RNAcentral's name for it is "lncRNA (ENSAOWG00000006174.1)". The record is from RNAcentral. Lineage: Eukaryota; Metazoa; Chordata; Aves; Apterygiformes; Apterygidae.